RNAcentral lists this ribosomal RNA (208 nucleotides) under uncultured Treponema sp. RNAcentral describes it as "partial 16S ribosomal RNA". It matches the Rfam family "Bacterial small subunit ribosomal RNA", at positions 568 to 775 of the family's 1533-position model. The record is from RNAcentral. Lineage: Bacteria; Pseudomonadati; Spirochaetota; Spirochaetia; Treponematales; Treponemataceae.
CAUGUAGGCGGUUUCGUAAGCCUGGUGUGAAAUCCUGCAGCUUAACUGUAGAAUUGCAUUGGGUACUGCGAGACUUGAAUCACGGAGGGGAAACUAGAAUUCCAGGUGUAGGGGUGGAAUCUGUAGAUAUCUGGAAGAAUACCGGUGGCGAAGGCGGGUUUCUAGCCGAUGAUUGACGCUGAGGUGCGAAAGUGCGGGGAGCAAACAG